AACGAACGCUGGCGGCAUGCCUAACACAUGCAAGUCGAACGAAGGCUUCGGCCUUAGUGGCGCACGGGUGCGUAACGCGUGGGAAUCUGCCCUUUGCUUCGGAAUAACUGAUAGAAAUGACAGCUAAUGCCGGAGGAUGUCGCAAGACCAAAGAUUUACCGGUAGAGGAUGAGCCCGGGGAGGAUUAGCCUGUUGGUGGGGUAAAGGCCUACCAAGGCGAUGAUGGUUAGCUGGUCUGAGAGGAUGACCGGCCAGACUGGGACUGGGAUACGGCCCAGAGUCGUACGGGAGGCAGCAGUGGGGAAUAGUGCACAAUGGGCGGAAGCCUGAUGCAGCAACGCCGCGUGCGGGAUGACGGCCUUCGGGUUGUAAACCGCUUUCGCCUGUGACGAAGCGUGAGUGACGGUAAUGGGUAAAGAAGCACCGGCUAACUACGUG
RNAcentral lists this ribosomal RNA (438 nucleotides) under uncultured bacterium. RNAcentral's name for it is "partial 16S ribosomal RNA". It matches the Rfam family "Bacterial small subunit ribosomal RNA", at positions 29 to 507 of the family's 1533-position model. The record is from RNAcentral.